Non-coding RNA from Pelobates cultripes (western spadefoot toad), 108 nucleotides. The record is from the annotation of a GenBank genome assembly. NCBI's taxonomy places the organism in Eukaryota, Metazoa, Chordata, Amphibia, Anura, Pelobatidae.
GUGUGUGUGUGUGUGUGUGUGUGUGUGUGUGUAUGGACUCAGCAGUCUGUGUGUGUGCAUGGACUCAGACAGACUGCUGAGUCCAGACACACACACACAGACAGACUG